Non-coding RNA from Potamilus streckersoni, 74 nucleotides. The record is from the annotation of a GenBank genome assembly. NCBI's taxonomy places the organism in Eukaryota, Metazoa, Mollusca, Bivalvia, Unionida, Unionidae.
CUCGGGUGGCCUAGUGGUUAGAGCGUCCGCCUCGGAUGCGAGAGGUCGUGGGUUCAAUCGAUCCACGGUAGAGU